This is a non-coding RNA of Triticum urartu, 2257 nucleotides long. The record is from RefSeq and is a predicted model, not a curated record. Lineage: Eukaryota; Viridiplantae; Streptophyta; Magnoliopsida; Poales; Poaceae.
AUAUCAUCGAUAUUGGAUCUGAGCUCUCUCGUUCUGGUUCCUCCCUCCUCACGGCGUCAUGACGGCGUCGACACCGCGGAUCACAACGGAGUCCAUCGAACAUACAGUCUUAUUAGGUUUUUCCUUUGUCCCAAAUCUCCUCCUCGUAGAUGUGCAGCGCAGGCGCAGCGCCCCCUUUCCAUUGUAGAACUACCACGCCGCCGGCCGCCGUGCAGCACUCCUCGGUCUCGCCUCCGGCAUGGCCGCCGGGAUGCAGUAGCCCGCCUCGUCUUCGUACUACAACAACCCCCGAGAUGCAACAUGCUCCCUUGCCGGCGGUGGCGGCGGCGCACACGCUGAGCUGGGAGACGGUCGACCUGCUGUCGUCGAUGCCGUCCAGGGCCUCGGCCACGACGACCACAGCCAUGGCCGGCGGCCGCGACCACAACCACGACUCCAGUAUUUCUGUAUUUUAGAGUGUUAUGCAUAGUCUGAUGGUGCUUAGUCUAAUGGUGGAAGUGUGUGUGCUAGUACUGUUCCAGAAUGUGCCUGUGUUGUUCUUACCAAGUUUUCUGAAGCAUAGCACAUUCAGGCUAGACUGAAGCAUACUGCCGCAUUCUGCUUAUUUAACCAUGGUAGUAGACUACUAGUAGUUUGCUUACCACAUUCAGGCUAGAUUACUGCAUGUGUAUGCAUUGGGAGUAGCCUUGUCAGGAUGCUAAUUGGUGUAUCAUGUCUAUGCUUCACAGCUUCAGUAUAGACUUGAUUAUAUGUGCUCUGCUUUAAUAUUUAACGCCUAGCUUUUAAUUUCUAAAUCAAAAUCAUAGACAUAUGCUAUGCUAAAAGACUUCUGUUUUGCAUGCUCCUGUUCUGCACGGUAUAACACAAUUUGAUUUCAUUUAAUCUUUUAAGCCUUUCUGCAAGGUACACAACUUGCUCGCUACAGAGGAAAGAGAUGAUGCACAUUACUCCUUUGUGCAAGUAAAGAAAGGAUAUGUUCUCAUAACAAGGAUGGAAAGUAUAACAGGUUACAAAAACCAAUAUGGACAACACAGAUCUGGAACUCAAGAACAACCUAGUACUCAUGUAGCUGCUAAUGACAUGUGUGCACUGGACGAAUGGCCACCCCAUGCUCACCGCAACCGUGCACAACUAUAGAAUGUUUGGGUUGUAGAAAGUGAUGGACAGAAGAAGAAAGGGCGAGGUGUACUUUUCGUAUUUAGGACAAAGCAUUUAAAGAGGUUCAAAACAAAGAAAAUGAAACUGAAGGUCCAGUUUCCAGUGAACAUAGAAGCAAUAUUUUCCAGACCGCAUAGAAAGACACUCCGCAAUGCAACUCAUCACAGCCUUAUGGGUAUGGAUCACUGUUCAAGAUAUCUUCCGAUAUUCCGAUAAAUCGGCCGAUUUAUCGCUUAUCGUUGUCUGGCCGAUAAGAUAAAUCGGCUGAUAAAUCAGCCGAUAUGGUGAUAAAUCGGCCGAUAUGCCGAUAAACUUGCCGAUUUACCCCUUAUCAUGGGUCGACCGAUAAGUUCCCGAUAAGCGAUAUCCCCAACAUUGGUAUGGAUACAUGGCCAAACCACCAAGUGGUUCUGAAAAGGAUUAAAUCACAAUUUGAAGAGCAAGAACGUGCUAUAACAGAGAUCCAAAAGGUAAACUCUGAGCUCAGCCAUCAGGUCACCGAAUUACAAGAUCAAUUACAAGCUGAACGUGAAAGCACACAAGAGAGGAUUAACUUCGAGCGUGCUAAGAGAGAAAACCUUGAGGAGAGGUUAAAAGAAGAGCGUGCUGAAACGGAAAGAUUGUUGGAAGAGGAGCGAAGAUCAACAUUGGAAUUUGAGAAAAACAUGAUGGCAAAGUUUGCACAGUUCUCCCAACAGAUGCAAACACAUCAGAUGAAUAAGAAAAAGACUAACAAAGAAAUUAGUAAUCCAAACUUGCAAAAUACUCUUUUACAGACCGCUAGUACUACUGGGACUCUAGGUACAAGGCACAAUGUAAUUGCUCCCAAUAUGCUCAUACAAGCUGCAAAUAUUCGAAUGUUUCGAGCAAUGGUAAGUGGAUCCAAAGAUUAACUAGAAUGGACUUUAGACCACGGACAAUUUACUCUUCGCUCUUAAUUAGGUUGGCACAUUCAGUAUGUUGAAUGCGUGCUAAAUUAUAUUUCAGUUUCAUUUGAUGGAUAUUGGCUAUGCAAAUAUUGAUAUUGUAUGAAUGUACAUCAUAUAUGUAUUAUCUGAAUCAUGUAAUUGAAUGCAUGUAUAUAUUUUUCUGGUUGCAA